RNAcentral lists this unclassified non-coding RNA (279 nucleotides) under fungal sp. RNAcentral describes it as "partial internal transcribed spacer region". The stretch from base 1 to 46 matches the Rfam family "Eukaryotic small subunit ribosomal RNA", at positions 1786 to 1831 of the family's 1831-position model. The record is from RNAcentral. Lineage: Eukaryota; Fungi.
AAGUCGUAACAAGGUUUCCGUAGGUGAACCUGCGGAAGGAUCAUUAACACGUAUCCACGUAUCAACCCCUAGUGUCACGAGUGCGCGAGCCGGCCAAUUCAGUUGGCCGUAUGCAACAGAGCAAUCCGUUGCGCGUGCUCAGUUUUUCUUCUUUCUCCCUUUUUAUGAAUAUUAACCACUUGAACCCAUCAGACUAAAACCAUUUCGUGUUUUGUGCGAACGAAACCGAAACAAUAAAAUAACAAGAAACAACUCUUAGCGACGGAUUUCUUGGCUCCC